CGCCCCGCAGGGGAGCGGCAGACGGGUGAGUAACGCGUGGGAAUCUACCUUUUGCUACGGAAUAACUCAGGGAAACUUGUGCUAAUACCGUAUGUGCCCUUUUGGGGAAAGAUUUAUCGGCAAAGGAUGAGCCCGCGUUGGAUUAGCUAGUUGGUGGGGUAAAGGCCCACCAAGGCGACGAUCCAUAGCUGGUCUGAGAGGAUGAUCAGCCACACUGGGACUGAGACACGGCCCAGACUCCUACGGGAGGCAGCAGUGGGGAAUAUUGGACAAUGGGCGCAAGCCUGAUCCAGCCAUGCCGCGUGAGUGAUGAAGGCCCUAGGGUUGUAAAGCUCUUUCACCGGUGAAGAUAAUGACGGUAACCGGAGAAGAAGCCCCGGCUAACUUCGUGCCAGCAGCCGCGGUAAUACGAAGGGGGCUAGCGUUGUUCGGAUUUACUGGGCGUAAAGCGCACGUAGGCGGACUUUUAAGUCAGGGGUGAAAUCCCAGAGCUCAACUCUGGAACUGCCUUUGAUACUGGAAGUCUUGAGUAUGGUAG
Molecule: ribosomal RNA, 538 nt
Filed under: Brucella pseudogrignonensis
Lineage: Bacteria; Pseudomonadati; Pseudomonadota; Alphaproteobacteria; Hyphomicrobiales; Brucellaceae
Description: bacterial SSU rRNA
Rfam family: Bacterial small subunit ribosomal RNA
Source: RNAcentral